GGAGGAGUUGCAUAAUGGUAUUGCAAUAGGUUGCUAACCUAUCGCGGUCUAAAAAGCCGCUUGUGGGUUCGAGUCCCACCUCCUCCG
Molecule: transfer RNA, 87 nt
Filed under: Candidatus Nealsonbacteria bacterium CG_4_10_14_0_2_um_filter_35_20
Lineage: Bacteria; Candidatus Nealsoniibacteriota
Also listed under: 4 other names
Description: tRNA-Ser
Rfam family: tRNA
About the family: Transfer RNA (tRNA) molecules are approximately 80 nucleotides in length. Their secondary structure includes four short double-helical elements and three loops (D, anti-codon, and T loops).
Source: RNAcentral